GAUGAAGAACUCAGCGAAAUGCGAAAAGUAAUGUGAAUUGCAGAAUUCAGUGAACCAUCGAAUCUUUGAACGCACAUUGCGCCCGCUGGAACUCCGGCGGGCACGCCUGUCCGAGCGUCAUUUCAACCCUCAGGCCCCCCUUCGCGGGCGGGCCUGGUGUUGGGGCCCGGCCGCUACCCUGCGGCCGUCCCCUAAAUUCAGUGGCGGCCUCGCCGUGAUCCCUUGCGUAGUAAUGCACCUCGCACCGGAGAGCGCCGUGGCCACGCCGUAAAACCCCCAAUUUUCAAUGGUUGACCUCGGAUCAGGUGGGAAUACCCGCUGAACUUAAGCAUAUCAAUAAGCGGAGGA
Molecule: unclassified non-coding RNA, 348 nt
Filed under: soil metagenome
Description: partial contains 5.8S ribosomal RNA, internal transcribed spacer 2, and large subunit ribosomal RNA
Rfam family: 5.8S ribosomal RNA (bases 1-120)
Source: RNAcentral